AGAGUUUGAUCAUGGCUCAGGACGAACGCUGGCGGCGUGCUUACACAUGCAAGUCGACGAUGAAGCCUUUCGGGGUGGAUUAGUGGCGACGGGUGAGUAACACGUGGGCAAUCUGCCCUGCACUCUGGGACAAGCCCUGGAAACGGGGUCUAAUACCGGAUAAUACCUUCCCUCGCAUGGGGGUGGGUUCAAAGCUCCGGCGGUGCAGGAUGAGCCCGCGGCCUAUCAGCUUGUUGGUGAGGUAGUGGCUCACCAAGGCGACGACGGGUAGCCGGCCUGAGAGGGCGACCGGCCACACUGGGACUGAGACACGGCCCAGACUCCUACGGGAGGCAGCAGUGGGGAAUAUUGCACAAUGGGCGAAAGCCUGAUGCAGCGACGCCGCGUGAGGGAUGACGGCCUUCGGGUUGUAAACCUCUUUCAGCAGGGAAGAAGCGAAAGUGACGGUACCUGCAGAAGAAGCGCCGGCUAACUACGUGCCAGCAGCCGCGGUAAUACGUAGGGCGCAAGCGUUGUCCGGAAUUAUUGGGCGUAAAGAGCUCGUAGGCGGUUUGUCGCGUCGGAUGUGAAAGCCCGGGGCUUAACCCCGGGUCUGCAUUCGAUACGGGCAGACUAGAGUGUGGUAGGGGAGAUCGGAAUUCCUGGUCUAGCGGUGAAAUGCGCAGAUAUCAGGAGGAACACCGGUGGCGAAGGCGGAUCUCUGGGCCAUUACUGACGCUGAGGAGCGAAAGCGUGGGGAGCGAACAGGAUUAGAUACCCUGGUAGUCCACGCCGUAAACGGUGGGAACUAGGUGUUGGCGACAUUCCACGUCGUCGGUGCCGCAGCUAACGCAUUAAGUUCCCCGCCUGGGGAGUACGGCCGCAAGGCUAAAACUCAAAGGAAUUGACGG
RNAcentral lists this ribosomal RNA (890 nucleotides) under uncultured bacterium. RNAcentral describes it as "bacterial SSU rRNA". It matches the Rfam family "Bacterial small subunit ribosomal RNA", at positions 8 to 916 of the family's 1533-position model. The record is from RNAcentral.